CACGUGACUAACCUACCCAGGAGUGGGGAGUAACUGAGGGAAACCGUUAGCUAAUACCGCAUAACACCUACGGGUCAAAGGAGCAAUUCGCUUCUGGAGGGGUCGCGGCCGAUUAGUUAGUUGGCAGGGUAAUGGCCUACCAAGACGAUGAUCGGUAUCCGGCCUGAGAGGGCGCACGGACACACUGGAACUGAAACACGGUCCAGACUCCUACGGGAGGCAGCAGUGGGGAAUUUUGCGCAAUGGGGGAAACCCUGACGCAGCAACGCCGCGUGGAGGAUGAAGUCCUUCGGGACGGUA
Molecule: ribosomal RNA, 300 nt
Filed under: uncultured Acidobacteriaceae bacterium
Lineage: Bacteria; Pseudomonadati; Acidobacteriota; Terriglobia; Terriglobales; Acidobacteriaceae
Description: bacterial SSU rRNA
Rfam family: Bacterial small subunit ribosomal RNA
Source: RNAcentral